This 372-nucleotide ribosomal RNA is filed under the name Panthera onca (jaguar). Its description in RNAcentral is "partial large subunit ribosomal RNA". It matches the Rfam family "Bacterial large subunit ribosomal RNA", at positions 1990 to 2536 of the family's 2925-position model. Lineage: Eukaryota; Metazoa; Chordata; Mammalia; Carnivora; Felidae. The record is from RNAcentral.
GUAUGAAUGGCCACACGAGGGCUUUACUGUCUCUUACUUCCAAUCCGUGAAAUUGACCUUCCCGUGAAGAGGCGGGAAUACAACAAUAAGACGAGAAGACCCUAUGGAGCUUUAAUUAACCGACCCAAAGAGACCCAGAUAAUCAACCGACAGGAACAACAAACCUCUACCAUGGGCCGACAAUUUAGGUUGGGGUGACCUCGGAGAACAAAACAACCUCCGAGUGAUUUAAAUCAAGACUAACCAGUCGAAAGUAUUACAUCACUUAUUGAUCCAAAAGUUUGAUCAACGGAACAAGUUACCCUAGGGAUAACAGCGCAAUCCUAUUUUAGAGUCCAUAUCGACAAUAGGGUUUACGACCUCCAUGUUGGA